This 253-nucleotide ribosomal RNA is filed under the name uncultured bacterium. RNAcentral describes it as "partial 16S ribosomal RNA". It matches the Rfam family "Bacterial small subunit ribosomal RNA", at positions 524 to 776 of the family's 1533-position model. The record is from RNAcentral.
UACGGAGGGAGCUAGCGUUGUUCGGAAUCACUGGGCGUAAAGCGCACGUAGGCGGCUUUUUAAGUCAGGGGUGAAAUCCUGGAGCUCAACUCCAGAACUGCCUUUGAUACUGAGAAGCUUGAGUCCGGGAGAGGUGAGUGGAACUGCGAGUGUAGAGGUGAAAUUCGUAGAUAUUCGCAAGAACACCAGUGGCGAAGGCGGCUCACUGGCCCGGUACUGACGCUGAGGUGCGAAAGCGUGGGGAGCAAACAGG